Small nucleolar RNA from Phyllostomus hastatus (greater spear-nosed bat), 71 nucleotides. RefSeq annotates it as small nucleolar RNA SNORD56. The record is from RefSeq and is a predicted model, not a curated record. NCBI's taxonomy places the organism in Eukaryota, Metazoa, Chordata, Mammalia, Chiroptera, Phyllostomidae. The transcript has a single exon.
CCAAAUGAAAGAACAUAUUUUUCAUCAAUAGUAGUUCACUUAGUGAGUGUUGAGACUUUGGGUCUGAGUGA